AUACGGAGGAUGCGAGCGUUAUCCGGAUUUAUUGGGUUUAAAGGGUGCGUAGGCGGUCGGGUAAGCGUAGGGUGAAAGUCCUCUGCUCAACAGAGGAAGUGCCUUCCGAACUGUCCGACUGGAAUGCUCCUGCCGUGGGAGGAAUGUGUGGUGUAGCGGUGAAAUGCAUAGAGAUCACACAGAACACCGAUUGCGAAGGCAUCUCACGAAGGGGCUAUUGACGCUGAGGCACGAAAGCGUGGGGAUCAAACAGGAUUAGAUACCCUGGUAGUCCACGCAGUAAACGAUGAUGACUAACCGUCGGUCAAGACUGAUCGGUGGCCAAGCGAAAGCGAUAAGUCAUCCACCUGGGGAGUACGACCGCAAGGUUGAAACUCAAAUGAAUUGACGGGG
Molecule: ribosomal RNA, 393 nt
Filed under: uncultured bacterium
Lineage: Bacteria
Description: partial 16S ribosomal RNA
Rfam family: Bacterial small subunit ribosomal RNA
Source: RNAcentral